This 382-nucleotide non-coding RNA is filed under the name Staphylococcus aureus. It matches the Rfam family "tsr1 small RNA". Lineage: Bacteria; Bacillati; Bacillota; Bacilli; Caryophanales; Staphylococcaceae. The record is from RNAcentral.
AAGCCAGGAUAAUGUAGUCUUAAUCGUUCUGAAAUACGAAAAAUGUUGUGGAAAUCGCGUGAAAUAAUCAGAGGAAUCGUUUGAAAUCAUCGUAGUAAUCGCGCGAAAAUCACGUGAAAUAAUCAGAGGAAUCGUUUGAAAUCAUCGUAGUAAUCGCGCGAAAAUCACGUGAAAUAAUCAGAGGAAUCGUUUGAAAUCAUCGUAGUAAUCGCGCGAAAAUCGCGUGAAAUAAUCAGAGGAAUCGUUUGAAAUCAUCGUAGUAAUCGCGCGAAAAUCGCGUGAAAUAAUCAGAGGAAUCGUUUGAAAUCAUCGUAGUAAUCGCGCGAAAAUCGCGUGAAAUACUAUGGUAGACGGUUUGAGUAAAUUAAUGGAGUAUUUUAAU